This 824-nucleotide long non-coding RNA is filed under the name Xyrichtys novacula (pearly razorfish). The record is from RNAcentral. Lineage: Eukaryota; Metazoa; Chordata; Actinopteri; Labriformes; Labridae.
UACUUUUUUGGGCUCCACAUGGAGUAUUUUUAUUCAAAGAAAAGUGCAAACAAACAACCACUCAGUGCAACCUUUGUUGCAGGUCAGGGUGGGGGUUGGGCGACUGGUGCAGGGAGUACAGUAGGUGUGAAAACCCCUGAUGGGGGGGUGGAUGUGCCUCACUCCCCUCUUCUUAGUGGCUGUGAAAAUGAAGAUAAAUUACUAUGUAGAACACAAAAUAAAUAAUAACAUCUGAACAUUUCCCUGAAGGACACAAAGGUUGUGGAUAUAUGUAAACUUAUUCAAUAAUUUGAGUAACCAUGACCUGUACUAUAUUUUGUUUGCAUUUGUAUUUACUUCAUGUUUUUGUUUUCAUAAAUAAUAUAUUCAAAGACAGAUAAAAUGCAACGUCUGCAAGCAAAGUAAGCCCAAAACGAACAAAUAUAGUGGAACUGCAGUAAUAUUCAAUGCUAUUGGAUUGCCAUACUUACUACUGUGUUUACAGUUUCAUGACAAAGGUGUUAUGCAUAUCAUGCAUAUCAGUCUACACAACACUGAGCCUUAUAAAUAAAUGCAAAUACUUACUAGUAAACGAGGUCCACUUCUAAUGUAAACAAUGCCUCCUCCUCGGAGACGACGUCGUUUCUGCUAAGUCAGAGGAGUCCUCAAAUUCACCGUCUGAGCCCUGCUGAAUUUCUCAUAAAAUGUCCGCCACAUCCCUCUAAGAGUUGAAUGUUUCUUCUCCAUUGUUGAAAAGUACUCAAAAGAAGUUUUAUAAGUGGUGGAGAAAGUUUACAGGAGAGUCCCGAGUGAUCAGCGUGCGAUGCAGCAGUCUGCCUUUGUCU